UACAGAGGUCUCAAGCGUUGUUCGGAUUCAUUGGGCGUAAAGGGUGCGUAGGUGGCGGGGCAAGUUGGAUGUGAAAUCCCGGAGCUUAACUCCGGAACUGCAUUCAAUACUGCCUUGCUAGAGUACUGGAGAGGAGAUUGGAAUUUACGGUGUAGCAGUGAAAUGCGUAGAUAUCGUAAGGAAGACCAGUGGCGAAGGCGGAUCUCUGGACAGUUACUGACACUGAGGCACGAAGGCCAGGGAGCAAAGCGGG
This 253-nucleotide ribosomal RNA is filed under the name uncultured bacterium. Its description in RNAcentral is "partial 16S ribosomal RNA". It matches the Rfam family "Bacterial small subunit ribosomal RNA", at positions 524 to 777 of the family's 1533-position model. The record is from RNAcentral.